Lepisosteus oculatus (spotted gar) is the source of this 98-nucleotide small nuclear RNA. The record is from Ensembl. Lineage: Eukaryota; Metazoa; Chordata; Actinopteri; Semionotiformes; Lepisosteidae.
GUUCACUUUGUCAGAGCAUUUGUGAAACAAAACAGAGAAGACUGGCAAGGCUCCUUUGCAAGGAUGACAUGCAAAUUUGCGAAGCGUUAAUUGUCUUA